Molecule: transfer RNA, 66 nt
Filed under: Babylonia borneensis
Lineage: Eukaryota; Metazoa; Mollusca; Gastropoda; Neogastropoda; Buccinidae
Description: tRNA-Cys
Source: RNAcentral
ACACAUCAGGAAUAUAUCUCCUUUUUCGAUUUUGCAGGUCGAUGUUUUAAAGUAAACUAUGAUGGG